AUACGAAGGGGGCUAGCGUUGUUCGGAUUUACUGGGCGUAAAGCGCACGUAGGCGGAUUGACAAGUUAGGGGUGAAAUCCCGAGGCUCAACCUCGGAACUGCCUCUAAAACUGUCAAUCUCGAGACCGGAAGAGGUGAGUGGAACUCCUAGUGUAGAGGUGGAAUUCGUAGAUAUUAGGAAGAACACCAGUGGCGAAGGCGGCUCACUGGUCCGGUACUGACGCUGAGGUGCGAAAGCGUGGGGAGCGAACAGGAUUAGAAACCCUAGUAGUCC
This 274-nucleotide ribosomal RNA is filed under the name uncultured bacterium. RNAcentral describes it as "partial 16S ribosomal RNA". It matches the Rfam family "Bacterial small subunit ribosomal RNA", at positions 523 to 796 of the family's 1533-position model. The record is from RNAcentral.